UACGUAGGGGGCAAGCGUUGUCCGGAUUUACUGGGCGUAAAGCGCGCGUAGGCGGAAGCUCAAGUCUGGCCUGAAAGCCCCCGGCUCAACCGGGGAGUGGGGCUGGAAACUGGGUUUCUUGGGGGCGAUAGAGGAGUGUGGAAUUCCUGGUGUAGCGGUGAAAUGCGUAGAGAUCAGGAGGAACACCGGUGGCGAAGGCGACCAUCUGGACGGAUACUGACGCUGAGACGCGAAAGCGUGGGUAGCAAACAGG
Molecule: ribosomal RNA, 253 nt
Filed under: uncultured bacterium
Lineage: Bacteria
Description: partial 16S ribosomal RNA
Rfam family: Bacterial small subunit ribosomal RNA
Source: RNAcentral